Nelumbo nucifera (sacred lotus) is the source of this 1120-nucleotide non-coding RNA. The record is from RefSeq and is a predicted model, not a curated record. NCBI's taxonomy places the organism in Eukaryota, Viridiplantae, Streptophyta, Magnoliopsida, Proteales, Nelumbonaceae.
GGUCUCCCAAGUCUCAACUCUCAAGUUAAGAAAGACCGCAAGCGAUUAUCCGCCCCUUGGUCUCUCCGGUUUAAUUCUUACUGUCUUUGAAGUCUGGAGUCUGGACUUCUCUCAUCGUCCAUCGCUUCCGGAGGCCAGUUGAUGCCAUGGGAACAGAGAUGAAUGGGGGGCGGGGGGAAGGCAGGUUGCUGUAAUAAUGCAUAUUUAUGAUAACACUGAGGUGUCUAUUUCGCACAGUGAUAUGCUGAUGAAUCCACAUGGAUAGGGCCCUCAACACUAAAAUGAUCCAAUAAUCUUAUCCCAACCUGAGAUUGUAGCUGGCGUCCAAUGAAAAUAUGAUAACACUAAUACUCUGUUGAUUAUCCGCACUGUUCUUUUAGCUGCAAUCAUAAACUUAUGAAUACCUUUUCCAGGUCCAUGAAAUGCCUAAUGGUUGGCCUCUUGGACUCGAGAACAUGAGUACAAGAUUGAGAGUACUAGAAUAUUUACAAGCUGCUGUAGCAGAGGAAUCAUCCUCUUUCCAUAUGUACUCUACCAGCUUCUCUUCAUUCUCAUCCUCUGAACUUGACACCGAGGUUGGCCAGUCCACAAGAUCCUUCUUCCAAGACCAUAGUGUUUCACUGGGCCGGCUAAUUGGAAUAAGACCAGGAGUUAGAGGAGAUUUGCAUUUCACUAACACAAUCCACUCCCAAGAACAUGAACAGGUUUCUGUAGCAGGUUCCUCCACAACUAUGACCAGGAGACGUGAAAUGGCUAUGUCUGAGGGGAUUUGCAUACCACUACUGCUAAAUAUUCUUGUAAAGAUCAACCCAAGUAGAAACAACUCAAAACAUUGAAUUGAGAUCAAACUGAUCAUAAUUUGACGAUUGUAUUGCAGAAGCAAUUGGUCGCAACUGCUUCUCUUUUGGUCUCUUAGAUUGCUGAAUGGGUUACUUUUAAGUUUUUAACAUCAAGAGGGUCCAUUGGAAAGAAAUGUGGGAUUUUGUGUUUAUCUAGGUGAACAAUGUCAUGGGAAGAUUCCUGACUAUCCCAAAUCUAAUAAAUGUGACAAAUUGGAAAUAAUAUGAAUGGAUUUUUGGCCUUGGGAAGAACAACUCUUUCUGGGAGAAUUGGUUCUUGA